Long non-coding RNA from Dreissena polymorpha, 1825 nucleotides. RefSeq lists it as uncharacterized. The transcript is spliced from 3 exons. Lineage: Eukaryota; Metazoa; Mollusca; Bivalvia; Myida; Dreissenidae. The record is from RefSeq and is a predicted model, not a curated record.
GCAAUGUCUUCGCUGUCAGGUGGUUUAGCCGAGAGCUGAUAAGCGAUUUAAUUGCUUUCAACUAUUGUCAAAAUAUCGAGUGCUCCACGCAGUUCAGUGUUUUGUAGAUAACGGUUGCCACGCCAAUGUUACCUGUGGUUGUCCUCUCCUGCGCACACAGACCACCACGGAGAUAACCACUAUGAGGACCACUAGGCCGCAGGCACCCCCGCCCACAUAGAGCCAUAAACCUGCAACAACGCUUAUAGGACGUAUGUAACAUACAUCUUCAACUGAAGAGUCCUUAUAGAGAAACACCUGCAUCACCAACAUGAGCUUUCCCAACUUCAACGACUUUAUGGCAUGAUUGGAUGGCCGAUGUUAGGUUCUGAGACAGUUCAACAUUGACGAAUGACUGAUGCAAGGUACCCACGAACUCUUCCGGAACACAAGCAGCAAAAUACUUCUCAAUAUACUGAUGCGUAACUUCUUCAGGUCCUCAGUGAGCAUCAGUCAAGGAUAUCUUCUCUUCUCCGUCCUGUUUAAACCUUUUCCUUUAGAAGGAGACCCUUUACGACAACCGCACUUCAAUCUCAAUCGGUAGCAGACCCAUGUCUUACUUUAGAUUUUCUGAGAAUAUUAACCUCAUGGGCGGCACCAGCAGUGAACUCCAUCCAAUACCUCACUAUCAGACUCUCUGAAAGCAAAGUGGCAUACGGGAUAAAGGUCAGCAUGGAGAAGUCGAAGAUCAUAGUGAACACAAACAACACCAGAGUGGAUAUAACCUCGAAAGACAACAAGCUGAAAAAGUUUAUCAGCUUCAGGUACUUAGUAUCAAUCCUGUUCAAGGAUGGUACCAGUACCAAAGAGAUCAUAAUACUUGUUACCAAGACGACCGCAGCGAAGGUCAGACUGGAAAGGUUGUAGCAGCUCAAUUAGCUUCCCCACCAUGUACAGGCUCUGUAAGUCUCUCGCAGACCACAUCCCACUGUUCUGCACAGAGACCUGGAUGUUCAAUGCGGACUGAGAACUCGAUCAGGAUACCGGCCCUUGAACACAAGUGUCUGCGAAUGAUCGUUACUAUGACUUUAUAGUAUACAUGCAAAUCGAAAUAUGAACAUUUUAAUUUUUAUAUACAGUAUAAAUUAUAAUAUGAACGUUUCCAUGUUUAUAUAUAGUAUGACGUGAUUAGUAAAUGUUUCAAUACUGGUAUAUAGUAUACAAUGAAAUAUGAAAGUUUCAAGUUGCCGUGAACGAGUACAUGUAUAUUGUUGAACAAGUAACGCAGUUGAUUAAGUUAUUUACUUAUUGAUUUUUAACUAAGUAUUUUUUUCUAGUGCAUGCACAUAAAUAAUUAAUUCUAAAAACCAAUUGACGAAUAUGAUAAAUCUUGCUUUAUUAUUAAUGUAUUUAAAUGUUAUGGUCAGAAAUAACCUCAAACUGUUUAAAAGAUUGUUUCUUCUUGUGAAAUUACUUCGUAUUCCUGUUGUAUAAACACACCUUCUAACGAAAGUAAUUUAUAUUAAGUUUAACAUUAUUUUACUCGAUAAAGUUAUAUUAUAAAAAAUACCUUUGUUAGAAGAAUUGUAAGCUAUUUGUAAAAUUAAACAGUAUAUACCUUUUUCGGAACUUAGACUAUGUUGUAUGCAUACUUUUCCAAAUUUAAAUAAUAAAUAACUACAUGAGCAUUUACUCAUUUGUAUUAUAUGAACUAAUUUCUGUAAUGUUUUUUGUAUCGGUUAAAUAAGGAGCCUAAUUUUCGGCACGUGAAAGAGAUACUUUAAAGGUAUGUUAAAUUAGCACGCAAAUAAAUAGGGGACUUUAUCAAAUGAGUCGUGUUCUAAGA